This 184-nucleotide ribosomal RNA is filed under the name uncultured bacterium. Its description in RNAcentral is "partial 16S ribosomal RNA". It matches the Rfam family "Bacterial small subunit ribosomal RNA", at positions 1309 to 1500 of the family's 1533-position model. The record is from RNAcentral.
AACCCGACUCCGUGAAGCUGGAUUCGCUAGUAAUCGCGCAUCAGCCAUGGCGCGGUGAAUACGUUCCCGGGCCUUGUACACACCGCCCGUCAAGCCAUGGGAGCCGGGGGUGCUUGAAGUGCGUCGCCGCAAGGCGCGCCCUAGAGCAAAACCGGUGACUGGGGCUAAGUCGUAACAAGGUAAC